This 450-nucleotide ribosomal RNA is filed under the name uncultured bacterium. Its description in RNAcentral is "partial 16S ribosomal RNA". It matches the Rfam family "Bacterial small subunit ribosomal RNA", at positions 354 to 796 of the family's 1533-position model. The record is from RNAcentral.
GUGGGGAAUAUUGGACAAUGGGCGAAAGCCUGAUCCAGCCAUGCCGCGUGUGUGAAGAAGGUCUUCGGAUUGUAAAGCACUUUAAGUUGGGAGGAAGGGCAGUAAGUUAAUACCUUGCUGUUUUGACGUUACCGACAGAAUAAGCACCGGCUAACUUCGUGCCAGCAGCCGCGGUAAUACGAAGGGUGCAAGCGUUAAUCGGAAUUACUGGGCGUAAAGCGCGCGUAGGUGGUUCAGCAAGUUGGAGGUGAAAUCCCCGGGCUCAACCUGGGAACUGCCUCCAAAACUACUGGGCUAGAGUACGGUAGAGGGUAGUGGAAUUUCCUGUGUAGCGGUGAAAUGCGUAGAUAUAGGAAGGAACACCAGUGGCGAAGGCGACUACCUGGACUGAUACUGACACUGAGGUGCGAAAGCGUGGGGAGCAAACAGGAUUAGAAACCCUAGUAGUCC